This 75-nucleotide transfer RNA is filed under the name Spirochaetota bacterium. RNAcentral's name for it is "Spirochaetes bacterium tRNA-Leu". It matches the Rfam family "tRNA". Rfam says of the family: Transfer RNA (tRNA) molecules are approximately 80 nucleotides in length. Their secondary structure includes four short double-helical elements and three loops (D, anti-codon, and T loops). Further hydrogen bonds mediate the characteristic L-shaped molecular structure. tRNAs have two regions of fundamental functional importance: the anti-codon, which is responsible for specific mRNA codon recognition, and the 3' end, to which the tRNAs corresponding amino acid is attached (by aminoacyl-tRNA synthetases). tRNAs cope with the degeneracy of the genetic code in two manners: having more than one tRNA (with a specific anti-codon) for a particular amino acid; and 'wobble' base-pairing, i.e. permitting non-standard base-pairing at the 3rd anti-codon position. The record is from RNAcentral. Lineage: Bacteria; Pseudomonadati; Spirochaetota.
GGCUUCGUAGGCAAACUGGAAAAGCCGCUUGACUUAGAAUCAAGUGCUCUGUGGGUUCGACUCCCACCGAAGCUA